GUGGAUUAAUCAUUUCCGGGAUCACUUUGAUAUCCUUGGUCUCGAAGCACUCGAACUCGUUCAUCGGGAUGGAACCGUCUGGAAUAGACAAAGAUCGAUUAAUGCCGAAAAAACGAUAUGAAU
This is a long non-coding RNA of Apis dorsata (giant honeybee), 123 nucleotides long. RefSeq lists it as uncharacterized. The record is from RefSeq and is a predicted model, not a curated record. The transcript is spliced from 3 exons. NCBI's taxonomy places the organism in Eukaryota, Metazoa, Arthropoda, Insecta, Hymenoptera, Apidae.